GGGGUCGUAGCUCAGUUUGGUUAGAGCGCCUGCCUGUCACGCAGGAGGUCGCGAGUUCGAGUCUCGUCGGCCCCGCAA
Molecule: transfer RNA, 78 nt
Filed under: Ignavibacteria bacterium
Lineage: Bacteria; Pseudomonadati; Ignavibacteriota; Ignavibacteria
Description: tRNA-Asp
Rfam family: tRNA
About the family: Transfer RNA (tRNA) molecules are approximately 80 nucleotides in length. Their secondary structure includes four short double-helical elements and three loops (D, anti-codon, and T loops).
Source: RNAcentral